Molecule: long non-coding RNA, 628 nt
Organism: Etheostoma spectabile (orangethroat darter)
Lineage: Eukaryota; Metazoa; Chordata; Actinopteri; Perciformes; Percidae
Exons: 4
Source: RefSeq, a predicted model, not a curated record
AGGUUUCAGCUCCCUCACAAGAAAUAAUAAAACUGCUUUCACAUUAAGUUUCAAACAUCAAGAGCCUCACAUCUCACCUAUAGGCCUAGCCGUUGGUGGAAAGCAGCAAAGUACAGGAUCUUAUGUCUGCUGCACAGCUCCAAUAAUGAAUCCAGGAGUGAUGAUGAGGAGAUGAAUUGGUGUUCAUUAGUUGGAAGCAGUCAGGUGCAAGCAGAUACACGCCACAGUACAAAGAUUCCUCCAACCUACAUACUGUACCUCGCCAGUUUAAACAGUCACCUGCAGUCCUGAUGGAGACAGGACAGGAGGAUUGUACCUGGACUGACUGUAGACGCCGGGGCAGUAGAGGAGAGCCGUCAUUAGAUACUGGUGAGGACAGAGGCUGCUGAGCACCAAACUGAUUCCAUACAGAGAGGUCAACACGAACACAGACAGGAUACAGUGGUGGUCCAGACGCUGGACACAGGAUCCACAGGUUCGACAGUGUCCGGCUCGAGGGGGUCGCAUUAUUUUGCACACAGGACAGUUGCUCCAUUUUGCAGCCACGGCCGCUUUUGUUGUCUGGAACUCUGCUGAAGUCCCUGAGGAGGCUGCUGAUUGGAUAGAUCCUUUAAGGUGUGCGGAGCCC